CAGCCGCCGCGGUAAUACCGGCGGCCCGAGUGGCGGUCACUAUUAUUUGGCUUAAAGCGUCCGUAGCCGGGUUGGGAAGUCCUCCGGGAAAUCUGGCCGCUUAACGGUCAGAAUGCCGGAGGAUACUCCCAGCCUAGGGAGCGGGAGAGGCCGCGGGUAUUCCCGGGGUAGGGGUGAAAUCCUAUAAUCCCGGGAGGACCACCUGUGGCGAAGGCGCUCGGCUGGAACGCGUCCGACGGUGAGGGACGAAGGCCAGGGGAGCAAACCGGAUUAGAUACCCGGGUAGUCCUGGCUGUAAACGAUGCGGACUUUGUGUCGGACAAGCUAUGAGCUUGUCCGGUGCCGGAGGGAAACCGUUAAGUCCGCCGCCUGGGGAGUACGGCCGCAAGGCUGAAACUUAAAGGAAUUGGCGGG
RNAcentral lists this ribosomal RNA (414 nucleotides) under uncultured microorganism. RNAcentral describes it as "bacterial SSU rRNA". It matches the Rfam family "Archaeal small subunit ribosomal RNA", at positions 459 to 872 of the family's 1478-position model. The record is from RNAcentral.